Molecule: ribosomal RNA, 253 nt
Filed under: uncultured bacterium
Lineage: Bacteria
Description: partial 16S ribosomal RNA
Rfam family: Bacterial small subunit ribosomal RNA
Source: RNAcentral
UACGGGGGGGGCAAGCGUUGUUCGGAAUUACUGGGCGUAAAGGGCUCGUAGGUGGCCAACUAAGUCAGACGUGAAAUCCCUCGGCUUAACCGGGGAACUGCGUCUGAUACUGGAUGGCUUGAGUUUGGGAGAGGGAUGCGGAAUUCCAGGUGUAGCGGUGAAAUGCGUAGAUAUCGAGAGGAACACCUGCGGCGAAGGCGGGUUGCUGGGCUGACACUGACGCUGAUGCGCGAAAGCCAGGGGAGCGAACGGG